CUGGGAGACAUGGAGCUAGAAUGCCACUGGGGGUUGCCAUGGGAUACAGUUUCAUAAAAGCAUUUGCAGAGCAGAAGGAAGGAAGCUAAAUAAAGUAUAUGCAGAUCAGCAUCAGUUUAAAUAUAUCCUCACUGGGAGAGUGACGUUGACAUGAUGGCAGAAUAGUUUCUACUAUGUUCUUCUCACAGUGCACCGAUUUGGACAAAAACCCACAGCAAGAGUGCCUUUGUAGGAGUCUAGGAGUCCAAUCAGUAAGUUCCAGCAAACAGUUGAAGUGGAAAAAAAAAAAAAAAAAGCCAAGAAUAGAUGCAUUGAAGAGGAACUAUUAGUGAAGAGGCCGGUUAUAUGCAGAAACUGGCAUGGCAGCAACUUGGAUGGAGCUGGAGACCAUUAUUCUAAGUGAAGUAACACAGGAGUGGAAAACCAAAGACUGUAUGUGCUCACUUAUAAGUGGGAGCUAAGCUAUGAGUAUGCAAAGGCAUACAGAGUGAUACAGUGGACUU
This 503-nucleotide long non-coding RNA is filed under the name Homo sapiens (human). Its description in RNAcentral is "HSALNT0080347". The record is from RNAcentral. Lineage: Eukaryota; Metazoa; Chordata; Mammalia; Primates; Hominidae.